UACGUAGGGUCCGAGCGUUGUCCGGAUUUAUUGGGCGUAAAGAGCUCGUAGGCGGUUCGGUAAGUCGGAUGUGAAAUCUUUGGGCUCAACCCAAAGCGUGCACUCGAUACUGCCGUGACUGGAGUUCGGUAGGGGAGCGGGGAAUUCCUAGUGUAGCGGUGAAAUGCGCAGAUAUUAGGAGGAACACCGGUGGCGAAGGCGCCGCUCUGGGCCGAUACUGACGCUGAGGAGCGAAAGCGUGGGUAGCAAACAGG
RNAcentral lists this ribosomal RNA (254 nucleotides) under uncultured bacterium. Its description in RNAcentral is "partial 16S ribosomal RNA". It matches the Rfam family "Bacterial small subunit ribosomal RNA", at positions 524 to 776 of the family's 1533-position model. The record is from RNAcentral.